UGGUGUGAAUUGCAGAAUCCCGUGAACCAUCGAGUCUUUGAACGCAAGUUGCGCCCGAAGCCAUUAGGCCGAGGGCACGUCUGCCUGGGCGUCA
This 94-nucleotide ribosomal RNA is filed under the name Eleutherococcus brachypus. RNAcentral describes it as "partial 5.8S ribosomal RNA". It matches the Rfam family "5.8S ribosomal RNA", at positions 63 to 154 of the family's 154-position model. From Rfam's summary of the family: 5.8S ribosomal RNA (5.8S rRNA) is a component of the large subunit of the eukaryotic ribosome. It is transcribed by RNA polymerase I as part of the 45S precursor that also contains 18S and 28S rRNA. RNAcentral also lists the same sequence under 2 other names. Lineage: Eukaryota; Viridiplantae; Streptophyta; Magnoliopsida; Apiales; Araliaceae. The record is from RNAcentral.